This is a long non-coding RNA of Culex quinquefasciatus (southern house mosquito), 240 nucleotides long. RefSeq lists it as uncharacterized. Lineage: Eukaryota; Metazoa; Arthropoda; Insecta; Diptera; Culicidae. The record is from RefSeq and is a predicted model, not a curated record. The transcript has 3 exons.
CAGAAAAACAACAUUGUUGUAAAGGUUCGUGAGGAUUUUGGCUGGUUGAUUGAUUUCCUGAUUUCAGCCUUCGCGACGGUGGAAGAGAACGUGAAUUAUCGUUAACCCGGCGGAUCAUGCCGGAAGAUGGGACGGGAAGGAACCGGUCUGCGAUUGGGAUCUGUAUCAAACAGUCUCCAAACAGGACAAUGAAAGUGUUGGUGGUGUUUGAUUUUUAGAGAAUGUCAAAAUCGCCAUUAU